This 538-nucleotide ribosomal RNA is filed under the name Cyclophorus formosaensis. RNAcentral's name for it is "partial 16S ribosomal RNA". The record is from RNAcentral. Lineage: Eukaryota; Metazoa; Mollusca; Gastropoda; Architaenioglossa; Cyclophoridae.
UAGCAAGAAAAUUUUUUAAAUUAGAUUUCUCGAAACCUAAGGAGCUACCUUAAUUUUGGUUUAGCCUUAGAUAAAGGUGGGUGUGGCAUAAUCCUAUUUAAAAUUUAAGGUAGAAAUUAAAUGUUAUUCGUUUUAGGUGAUAGCUAGUUAUAACAUAAAGAUAUAUAAGUAUCGGAUAUAAUUUUAUUAUAUGUUUAUACUAUAUACAUAUAAUGACUUAUUUUCUUAGUUAUGCGAGGGUAAGCUCGUAUAAAUUUAAUUUAAUUAAAAUUAUAUAUGAAUCUAGGCUUGAAAUUAGCCAUGGUUUGGAAUUUGUUAAAAAUGCAUAUAUAUACAAAAACUUUGUAACAUAUUAAAUUUAUGUUAUUCAAUUACGUAAUCAAGGCAUGGUUGAUUUAUGCUAAAAUGAGUAUUAUUAUAAGCUAAAACAAAAAAUAAAUUAAAUUUUUUUAAAAAUUUUUUAUAAAUAUUAUAAAAUAUAUCAUAGGAACUCGGCAAAGAUUUAGCUCCGCCUGUUUAGCAAAAACAUGUCUCUUUG